UCCCGGUUGGCCCGGGCAGUCUCGCAUGAAAUAUACAACAUACGAUAAGGGUUGCGCUCGUUGCGGGACUUAACCCAACAUCUCACGACACGAGCUGACGACGGCCAUGCAACACCUGUCACUAGGUUCCCGAAGGCACGGCACUGUUUCCAGCGCUUUCCUAGGAUGUCAAGCCUUGGUAAGGUUCUUCGCGUAGCUUCGAAUUAAACCACAUCAUCCACCGCUUGUGCGGGUCCCCGUCAAUUCCUUUGAGUUUUAAGCUUGCGCUCGUACUCCCCAGGCGGCUUACUUAUCGCGUUAGCUUCACAGCCCAGGGGGUCGAUACCCCGAACUAUUAGUAAGCAUCGUUUACGGCGUGGACUAC
This 364-nucleotide unclassified non-coding RNA is filed under the name uncultured bacterium. RNAcentral describes it as "contains 16S-23S intergenic spacer region". The record is from RNAcentral.